RNAcentral lists this ribosomal RNA (495 nucleotides) under uncultured bacterium. Its description in RNAcentral is "partial 16S ribosomal RNA". It matches the Rfam family "Bacterial small subunit ribosomal RNA", at positions 28 to 507 of the family's 1533-position model. The record is from RNAcentral.
GACGAACGCUGGCGGCGUGCCUAAUACAUGCAAGUAGAACGCUGAAGGAGGAGCUUGCUUCUCUGGAUGAGUUGCGAACGGGUGAGUAACGCGUAGGUAACCUGCCUGGUAGCGGGGGAUAACUAUUGGAAACGAUAGCUAAUACCGCAUAAUAGUAGAUGUUGCAUGACAUUUGCUUAAAAGGUGCAAUUGCAUCACUACCAGAUGGACCUGCGUUGUAUUAGCUAGUUGGUGGGGUAACGGCUCACCAAGGCGACGAUACAUAGCCGACCUGGGAGGGUGAACGGCCACACUGGGACUGAGACCAGGCCCAGACUCCUACGGGAGGCAGCAGUAGGGAAUCUUCGGCAAUGGACGGAAGUCUGACCGAGCAACGCCGCGUGAGUGAAGAAGGUUUUCGGAUCGGAAAGCUCUGUUGUAAGAGAAGAAAGAGUGUGAGAGUGGAAAGUUCACACUGUGACGGUAUCUUACCAGAAAGGGACGGCUAACUACGUG